Molecule: RNase P RNA, 379 nt
Filed under: Basilea psittacipulmonis DSM 24701
Lineage: Bacteria; Pseudomonadati; Pseudomonadota; Betaproteobacteria; Burkholderiales; Alcaligenaceae
Description: Bacterial RNase P class A
Rfam family: Bacterial RNase P class A
About the family: Ribonuclease P (RNase P) is a ubiquitous endoribonuclease, found in archaea, bacteria and eukarya as well as chloroplasts and mitochondria. Its best characterised activity is the generation of mature 5'-ends of tRNAs by cleaving the 5'-leader elements of precursor-tRNAs.
Source: Rfam by way of RNAcentral
GGAGGAAGUUGGGCAAUCGCGAGAUGUUAAAUUUCGAGGAACGUCCGGACUCCAAAGGACGGGAUAGCGGCUAACAGCCGUCAGGUCAUGAAAAUGACUUAGGAAUAGGGCCACAGAGACGAGACUGAUAUAAGGGCUGGUAUAUACUGGCUCCCAUACGGCGACUCCGUAUGGCGAAUAACUACCUGGGCGUUAUAUUAGGGUGAAACGCGGUAACCUCUAUCUGGAGCAACAUCAAGUAGGCAUAGAGCCUUUGGCAAGAGUGGUCCGCUCUAUCUAUGCGGGUAGAUGGCUCUGAGCUUGUUAGUAAUAAUAAGCCUAGAUGAAUGAUUGCCAGCCUUAGGGCUUACAGAAUCCGGCGUAUAGACUUUCUCCACAC